Molecule: transfer RNA, 86 nt
Filed under: Candidatus Omnitrophota bacterium
Lineage: Bacteria; Pseudomonadati; Candidatus Omnitrophota
Description: tRNA-Leu
Rfam family: tRNA
About the family: Transfer RNA (tRNA) molecules are approximately 80 nucleotides in length. Their secondary structure includes four short double-helical elements and three loops (D, anti-codon, and T loops).
Source: RNAcentral
GCGCGAGUGGCGGAAUGGCAGACGCACCAGCUUGAGGGGCUGGCGGGAGCAAUCCUGUGAGAGUUCAAAUCUCUCCUCGCGCACCA